GAGAGAGAGAGGAAGCAACAUGGCGACUGCGAGCGACCUGAAGCGGGACGCCGGCCAUUCGCUUUGAGCUUUCUCGCGUUAACCGAGUCCGUGGCUUCGCUGGACUACAGCAUCUGUAUCUCUGCGAGUUGAGCUUUCCGUCGGUGCCUGAAAAUUCGAGUUUUCUGCACUUCCGGUGCGCGCUAGGACUGAAAAAGAAAAGAAUAGGUUUUUCUAUGUGUAAUGAGGGGGAGAAGAGGCAGGCCGCCCAAAACCCUGCUGAUGCAGGAGCCUUCUCCAGGGCCGGUGCGCGGUCUCAGACCCCGGAAAGGAUUAAAGGGGAAGGGAAGAGGGGGCAGCGACGACGAUUUUGUGACACCCAAGCGGGGGAACCCUCAUUCAUCGCGGGGGAAGAGGAAAGCUGGAUCCGCGACAUCGCGCGGUAGAGGCAGGGGCAGAGGAGCUGGAAGAGGCAGGGGGAGACGGAGCACCGCGAGCGCCGUGGUUUACGACGACCACGAGAGCGAGGAAGAAGAGGAUGCGGUGAGCUUAGCCUCGGAGGAGGAUGACUACAUGGAAGAGGAGCCUCUCACGGAGGAAGAUGAUGAGGUCAUCGACAACGAGUCGGACUAUCUCGAAGAGCUGCCCCAGGAUGAGGAUGAUGAUGAUGCCAGCUACUGCACCGAGAGCAGCCACGACAGCACUCCAGGCCGGAGGAGACGGCGAGCCCGUCGGCCACCCUCUCCUGUCCUGGAGCAGAAAGAGAUCCCUCCUCUGGAGCUGCCUAAAUCCUCGGAGGACCUGCUUAUCCCCCCUGAGCAGCUCCUGAACGCUUCAGCCGUGUACGAGGUACUGCGCACUUUCAGCACAGUGUUACGUCUCUCGCCUUUCCGCUUUGAGGACUUCUGUGCAGCGCUGGCAGGCCAGGAGCAGUGCGCGCUGCUGGCUGAGACGCACAUAGCGUUGCUCAAGGCCAUCCUGCGUGAGGAGGACUCCUCCAACACCACGUUUGGGCCGGCUGACCUUAAGGACAGCGUCAACUCUACUCUGUAUUUUGUGGACGGCAUGACGUGGCCCGAGGUGGUGCGAGCAUACUGCGAGAGUGAACCCGAAUAUGGCGGUGCUGCACUCGAGCACCUCGAGGCUGACGAGUACCCGUAUGGGCCGCUGGAGAGCAAGGUGAAGGUGCUGCAGUUCCUUGUGGACCGCUUUCUCACCACUAACAUGGCCCGUGAAGAGCUGAUGAGCGAAGGAGCCGUGCAGUACGACGACCACUGCCGCGCGUGCCACCGUCUCGGUGACCUGCUCUGCUGCGAAACGUGCUCAGCUGUCUACCACCUGGAGUGCGUGCGGCCGCCUCUGGAGGCUGUGCCUGAGGAUGAGUGGCAGUGUGAGAUAUGUGUAGCACAUCGUGUGCCUGGUGUCAGCGACUGCAUCACAGAGGCCCAGAGGAGUCGCCCGUACCUUCGACAGGAGCCCAUCGGAUACGACCGGCACCAACGGAAGUACUGGUUCCUCAAUCGCAGGGUUAUUGUGGAGGAAGAUGGUGAGGAGGAGAAAGGGAAGAGGAUCUGGUACUAUAGCACUAAAGUGCAGCUGGGGGAGCUGAUUGAGGUCCUGGAUAAGGAAUUCUGGGAGAAUGACCUCUGUGCUAUGCUGGAGGAGCUGAAGGAGGAGAUCCAUGCGCACAUGGACAUCACGGAGGACCUCACCAACAAGGCUCGUGGCAGCAACAAGGCCUACCUCACUGUCGCCAACGAUGAGAUCCUGGAAAAACAGAAGGCUCAUCAGGAGGAGCUCGAUGAGGCAAGACGGAAAGCUGUAGAGAAGGACAGCCUUGGGUCAAAGGUCAACGAGGGGUCUGAGGGUGAUAACACAGCCUCAUCUAUUGCCGACCUGUCUUCUUCUCAGCCAGACUCUGAAAACGGGAAUUCGGCCAGUGACAAGCUUAUAGCUGAUGCCCCAGCUCCUCCUGCUGGUGAAGAGAGUAACAGUGCGUGUGAGCACCCUCAGGCCGACUCUUCUGGCCCGUCUAAAGCUGACCCUCCACCCUCAUCUGCUGCAGAGGACCCUGGGGAAGGGGCACAGAGGGAUUGGGCAGAAAAAAGCUCCGAGUCGGGUUGUGGAGGCAAUGGAGAGCCUGUCCUGGAGAGCGAGCCACCGCAGAUUGCUGAUGAGAACAGCUGCAGCAGCCACUUCUCAAUUUCUGACUGCUUGAGGGUUCCUGAGGAGCCUGACCUCGCAGACCGUUCUUCUCAGUCCUCACUUAACAGCCAGGACGAUGCUGGUGAAGGUAAAGGAAAUGGCGAAGGUGGAAAGACAGGGUCAGCAACACGCAUGGUGACACGUCUCCGAAACCCAGACAGCAAAUUAAGCCAGCGCAAGGUCAUGCAGGACAAGGACACCAGCUCACAGGACAGCAAAGCACUUAAAGAGACUCCCCUGUUGUCCAGCUUGGUCAGGAAAGACCUAGGCCUGAAGACCAGCUCGAGCAGCGGCUUCUUCAAGCUUGGGCAGGAGGGCAAAUUCCGUGUCUACCACAACCAGUACAGCACAAACGCACUGGCGCUUAACAAACAUCAGCACCGUGAGGACCACGACAAGCGACGGCACCUCUCCCACAAGUUCUGCAUGACGCCCGCGGGCGAGUUCAAGUGGAACGGCUCAGUGCACGGCUCGAAAAUGUUGACUGUGUCCACACUGAGACUAACAAUCAUCCAACUAGAGAACAAUAUCCCUGCACCUUUCCUGCAUCCCAACUGGGCAUCACACAGAUCCAAUUGGAUAAAGGCUGUCCAGAUGUGCAGUAAAGCGAGAGAAUUUGCCUUGGCAUUGGCCAUUCUGGAGUGUGCGAUCAAACCAGUGGUCAUGCUCCCAGUGUGGAAGGAUUCUCUUGGUCACACAAGGCUCCAUCGAAUGACCGCUAUGGAACGGGAGGAAAAGGAGAAGGUGAAAAAGAGGGAGAAAAAGCUUGAGGAUGAAGAGACAAUGCAGCAGGCAACAUGGGUGAAAUACACUUUCCCCAUUAAGCAUCAGGUGUGGAAACAGAAGGGCGAGGAGUACAGAGUGACUGGCUAUGGUGGCUGGAGCUGGGUCAGUAAAACCCAUGUCCCACGCUUUGUCCCUAGAUUACCUGGAAACACAAAUGUCAACUAUCGAAAAGCACUUGAAGCUGCUAAUACUCUCAAGGAAAAUCAAACAUCCUGCCCAGAGAAAUGCCAAAACCCAAUCCUUGAAACCCCAAAGGAACACUCAUCUAGAGAGGAGCAAACACUCAAAGAGGAGGAUGAACAAAAGGGAGAAAAGAUGGAGGUGGAUGAGAAGGCUGUGGCCAAGAGUGAUGAGCUUAACAAAGAUGAAGCUUCUAAAAACAUGGACACGAGCACCCCUGACGUCCCUAGCCCCAGUGAAGAAAAAGUUAACAUUAAAAGCACUCCCUCACCACUGAAGAAUGAUCAGUGUGUGAAAGGGGAAUCUAUUGAUUGUGAAGAAUCCAAAGUUAGUGCAGCAGUUCAGCCUCAGGCAUCAAUCGAAGAUGAUGUUGUGAAUGUUAGCCAGGGCUUUCAGCUGCGCACAGCCUAUAAGAAGAAGGGCAAAGGAUCAAAGCUGGACGGUCUUCUGGAGCGGCGGGUCAAACAGUUUGCGUUGGAGGAGAAGCAGAGGCUGGAGAAGCUCAAGCAAGUUUCUGCCUCAAAACCCACCACUGAAAAUGGAACAAAGGAUCAGGAGAAGACCAGUCCAUCUCUGAACCAAGAGCUUAAAACUGAAGGACCUUCUUUUGAAGCUACAAGAAGUGUUCUGUCUGAUAAGGCAGCAAACCCACUAGUGAAGGAAAAAGACCCUGUAGUACAAAAACUUGACUUUGACCAAGAUGAGCAGGUGACGCAUAGUUCAUCAGAACAGACUGAAAAUCUUGAUGUCAGACUGGGAUCCAGUGUAAAGACUGAAGCAGCUGCAUCUCUUGCAGAAAAAGAGCAGAAAGUAGCACCAGAACCAGAGCACAAAACGGGGAAUGGCACGUUAAUGCCCGAUGCUGAGCUUAAUGGAGAUUCUCGGAAAGAUCUGGAGGGCAGCCUGAACUUAAACAGCAAAAUGACGUGUCUGAAAUUUGAGGGUGCAGAGAAGAAGGAUAUGACUGAAAACAGUUCUUCCAUGGGCGAGAAUGGCUUAAGUAUCGAAACGAAUGUGCCAGUGCAUGUCAAUGGGAGAGACGGUUCAAUGGAUUCACCGCCCACGAAUCUGACCAAUAAUAUCAACUCGAAAGAAAUGAAGCAGAAUAAAGAGGAAGAGACAAAAACACUUCCCUCAAAGGAUCUCAAAAAAUCACUAAUGAAUGGUGACCUGACUCAAGGCAGCCAGAAUGAGAAAGCUCAGCCUAAUGAGGAGACACGGAUGGACAAGUCAAACUUGGAGUAUCUGGUGUCUCAGAAAGAUGCCAGUCUGGACAGCAGCACUGAGGGCAUAGCUGACUCUGCUAUUAGUUCUUCUCCCUCCCAUCUCUCCCCAGCAGAAAAUGCCAAGCCAGAUGGGCUUAGUAGCAAUAGUAAGAUAUCACCAAUGGAGACUGAAGAGGCCAAGUUGAAAACUCUUAGCCCAUCGCCCAUUCUGUCAACGGAGGAGUCCAGCCUAAGCAGUGAUGUUGCUGAGAAUAGCACUAACAGUGGUAGCGGGGUCAAGACCGUAAUUACGCAAGUCACCACAACUACCACUACAACCACUACAGUGUCCACAGAGUCACACACUGCUGAAGCAUCCCACUUGCCUGAUGGUACCACGAACAGUCAAGCUUCUUCAACACUGGCAUCAGCUGAAUCAAAAGUAGAAUCCACCAUGUCAGUCUCUACUCUUUCCACUACAACCACCACCACGGUAACCAAGGUUACAAACCCAACUCAUGGAGCCAGAGUUACAGAGCAGAGCAAGACCAUUGUCACAGCAAUGUUUACUGAUGCUAAAUCAGCACCCUCAAGUACCUCGGUGACCUCAGUCACCCUGUGUAAGGAGUACUCCACCAGAGACAGAGUGCGGUUAUUGAAGUUUUCUCGCUGCAAGAAGACUCGGUCUGGUACAGCUCUGCCUUCAUAUCGCAAGUUUGUAACAAAGAGCAGCAAGAAGAGCAUUUUUGUGCUUCCCAACGAUGAUUUAAAGAAGCUUGCGAGGCGAGCGGGUAUCCGAGAGGUGCCCGUGUUUAAUUAUAAUGCCAAGCCAGCUUUAGACAUCUGGCCCUAUCCAUCCCCAAGACCCACAUAUGGAAUCACAUGGAGGUACCGGCUUCAGACAGUAAGGUCUUUGGCUGGAGUGAGUCUGAUGUUGCGCCUGCUUUGGGCAUGCCUCAGGUGGGAUGAUAUGUCCGUGAAGCCCUCUGCUGCUGUUGGAACCACACGCACAGAAACUUCUGACACUGAGAUAACGACAACCGAGAUUAUUAAACGAAGAGAUGUGGGACCUUAUGGUAUCCGCUCAGAGUAUUGCAUCAGGAAAAUUAUUUGCCCCUUGGGUGUGCCUGAGACUCCCAAAGAGACCCCCACACCCCAAAGAAAGGGUCUGCGCUCAAGCGCUCUGCGGCCAAAGAAACCAGAGCCCUCUAAGCAGACGGGACCUGUUGUGAUGGAGAACUGGGUACCAGAGGAGGAGCUGGAACUGUGGGAGAUUCGAGCCUUUACUGAAAGGGUUGAGAGGGAAAAGGCACAAGCAGCAGACCCAGCUAAGGUUAGUGUGCAGAAGACAGCUGAGGAGGUCAAGGCCCAGUUGGAAGCUCAACUAAAGCAACAAAGAUUGGCAGCCCAGCAGAAACGGUUGGAGCAGCAGAAGGCUGGAGGAACUACAACCCAAUCCAACAUGAGCAGCGCACCUACCAGCAGUGCAUCAUCCACCCAGAAGGUGGUGGUAGGUUCUCUGACCAAUCCAGUCACCCCUGGGACAAAAGUGGUGCUUGCCACCAAGUUAGGUACUCCGGUGCAAUUUCAGCAGGGCAAGAACUUCCAGCAGUCUUUCGCCUCCUGGGUCAAGCAGGGCCAAAGCAAUACAGCCUCCACUACUUCCGUUACCACAGUGGCGACGAGUAGCGUCAGCACAUCUGGGCAAACGUUCCAGAUCGCUGCUGCGUCAGGCUUGAUGACUGGCAAUGUCAUCACCGCCAAACUGCCUCUGCCGGCCAACAGCAAGAUAGUCACAGUGAACGUGCCAACCACGCAAGGAGGUGUUGUUCAGGUACAGCAGAAAGUUGUAGGCAUCAUUCCAUCCAGUACAGCAGCCACGGCUCAGUCGUUCUCCUCAUUCCAGCCCCGUUCGGGCACCGUCAACAUCCGACCCAACACCAGCACCUCCACACAGCAGGCCACCACUACUGGAACCCCUGUCCGGCCUGGGAUGACGGUGGUUCGUUCACCCCUCCAACAGGCCACGACUUUGGGCAAGACCAUCAUACGCACACCGCUAAUGGUUCAACAAGGUCAGGGUCAGCAGGUGGUAACUCAGAUCAUCCGAGGAACGCCUGUAUCAAAGGCUGUAAGCAGCAGUACCCCAACACAGGUGGUGGGUUCUACCCCUCGACCCUCCACCCCAGGGCAGCCCCAGACUCCACAGACCCCCAGCAGCACCCGACCACAGCAAGGCCAAGUUAAACUCACCCUGGCUCAGCUAACACAGCUCACGCAAGGAGCUCAGGGUGGGAAUCCAGGUUUGACUGUUGUGAUCCAAGGUCAGGGGAAGACCACAGGGCAACUGCAGGUCAUCCCACAGGGUGUGACCGUGAUCCCAGGUCCUGGUCAACAGCUCAUGCAGGCAGCUAUGCCAAAUGGCCAGGUCCAGCGCUUCCUCUUCACUCCUAUGCCCCCAGCACCAGCUACUCCAGCUCCCACUGCAUCCGCACCCAGCACCUCAGCCACUCCUGCUAGCAGCAGCACAACUACCACCACUGCCGCGGGACCUACAACACCAGCGCGGCCAGCAAUACAACCUGCAGCUCCUGUCUCACCCAUAGUUCAACCCUCCAGCCUUCCCUCAUCUCCACCCUCUCUUUCUAAAUCCCAAGCUACGUUACAGCCAGCCACCACAUCCCAAACGGCAGCAUCAUCUGCUCCAGUUCCUACUCUGCAAACUCAGUUUUCUUCUCCACAGGCCCUGCUGCAACCACAGUCCAAAAUCCAACCCCAAACUCAGUCAAAACCACAAAGCCAGUCCCAAGCCCAACUACAUCAAACCCAGCCACAAGCCACAACCCAACCCACAGUUCAAAACCAGCUACAGCAACAGCCCCAAAUCCAGUCCCAAACCCAGCUGCAGCACCAACUUCCAUUACAACCUCAAUCACAGCUCCAAAUCCAGAGUCAACAGCAAGCCAAACUCCAACCCCUGCAGCAACUUCAGCCUCAGCAACAGACUCAAACCCAGUCACAACUUCAGCUUCAGCAACAGACUCAAACCCAGUCACAACUUCAGCUUCAGCAACAGACUCAAACCCAGUCACAACUUCAGCUUCAGCAACAGACUCAAACCCAGUCACAACUUCAGCUUCAGCAGCAGACUCAAACCCAGUCACAACUUCAGCUUCAGCAGCAGACUCAAACCCAGUCACAACUUCAGCUUCAGCAGCAGACUCAAACCCAGUCACAACUUCAGCUUCAGCAGCAGACUCAAACCCAGUCACAACUUCAGCCCCAACAGCAAGCCCAGCCCCAACUUCAGUCCCAACAGCAAGCCCAGCCCCAACUUCAGCCCCAACAGCAAGCCCAGCCCCAACUUCAGCCCCAACAGCAAGCCCAGCCCCAACUUCAGCCCCAACUUCAGCCCCAACUUCAGCCCCAACUUCAGCCCCAACAGCAAGCCCAGCCCCAACUUCAGCCCCAACAGCAAGCCCAGCCCCAACUUCAGCCCCAUCUCCAACUUAAGCCUCAACAACAACUCCACCCUCAACUCCCAAUUCAGCCUCAACAGCAACUAAAAUCCCAACUUCAACAGCAACCCCAACCCCAGGCACAGCAGCAGCCCCAACCCCAGGCACAGCUUCAGCCUCAGCAGCAGCCCCAACCCCAGGCACAGCUUCAGCAGCAGCCCCAACCCCAGGCACAGCUUCAGCAGCAGCCCCAACCCCAGGCACAGCUUCAGCCUCAGCAGCAGUCCCAACUCCAGGCACAGCUUCAGCCUCAGCAGCAGCCCCAACCCCAGGCACAGCUUCAGCCUCAGCAGCAGCAGCCGCCCCAGGCACAGCCUCAGCAACAGCCCCAGGCACAGCCUCAGCAACAGCCCCAGGCACAGCUUCAGGCACAGCUUCAGCCCCAGGCACAGCUUCAGCCUCAGCCCCAGGCACAGCUUCAGCCUCAGCUUCAGCCACAGCAGCAGCCCCAGGCACAGCUUCAGCCACAGCAGCAGCCCCAGGCACAGCUUCAGCCACAGCAUCAACUCCAAACCCAGGCACAACUUCAGCCUCUACAGCAGCCCCAACCCCAGGCAAAACUUCAGCUUCAACAGCAAACUCAACCCCAGCCACUACUUCAGCCCCAACAGCAACUCCAACCCCAGCCACAACUUCAGUCUCAACAGCAAUCACAAUUUCAGUCUCAACAGCAAUCACAGCUUCAGUCUCAACAGCAACUCCAACCACAGCUUCAGUCACAACAGAAAUCUCCUCUCCAUUCCCAGCCACAACUUCAACCCCAACAGCAACCCCAGCUGCAACAUCAGACUCAACAGCCACAAAUCCUGCCUCAAAAGCCUUCCCAUGUUCAACCGCAGCCACAGCCCCAACCUCAGUCUCAUUUGCCUGUUCAAACCCCAGUUCAGCCAACUUCCCCAUUACCUGUGUCUCAUGUAGCCCAAGUGACUUCUCCUCAAACACAGGUAGCCUCCAUUGCUGUAGCCCCACAAGUAACCCAGACCACGGUAACUCAGGUUCGGCCUCAGAUCCAGCUCCCAGCCCAGCUUCUUAGUGUUCCAGGGAUCCAGCAGCAAGUCCUGUCCCACAUCCAGAACCAAGUGGCAGCACAGCUCCAGGCCCAGGCCCAGCAGGGUACCCUUCCCCAGCAGAUCAAACUGCAGCUGCCUAUCCAGAUCCAGCAGCAGGGUGGAGGCCAGGUGCAGACACAUCAGAUCCAGAAUGUGGUGACUAUUCAGACAGCCAGCGUCCAGGAGCAGCUCCAGCGCAUCCAGCAGCUUCGAGAUCAGCAGCAGCAGAAGAAGAAGCAGCAAGAGGCUAAGAGAGAUCAGGCUCAACAGGCUACCAGUCAGAGUGAACUGCUGCAGAAGCAGGUGGUCAUGAAGCAGAAUGCAGUCAUAGAGCAUUUAAAGCAGAAGAAAGCCAUGACACCUGCAGAGAGGGAGGAGAAUCAGAGGAUGAUCGUGUGUAACCAGGUGAUGAAGUUCAUACUGGAUAAGAUUGACAAAGAUGAAAAGCAGGCAGCCAAAAAGCGGAAACGGGAGGAGUCAGUGGAGCAGAAGCGCAGCAAACAGAAUGCCAGCAAGCUCUCGGCUCUGCUCUUUAAACACAAGGAGCAGCUGAAAGCCGAGAUCCUGAAGAAGAGAGCACUGCUGGAUAAAGAGCUACAGGUGGAGGUGCAGGAGGAGCUGAGGAAAGAUCUGAGCAAGCUUAGAAGAGAGAAGGAAAAAGCCCAGGCUGCAGCAUCUCAAGCAUCUGCCACAGCCAUUAGUGCCCAGGCAGCUUCACUCUCCACACACUCCUCCACGAUCACUUCAUCCCCGUCCAACCAUAAACGCAAACGAGAUGAGGAACGUGAUGCAGCCUUGUCUAAGAGCAAGAAGAAGAAGAUGAUCUCCACCUCAUCGAAGGACAACAAGAGAGACACAAAACUAUACUGUGUAUGCAAAACACCCUAUGACGAAUCCAAGUUUUAUAUUGGCUGUGAUCUCUGUUCAAACUGGUACCAUGGGGAGUGUGUGGGCAUCACCGAGAAGGAGGCCAAGAAGAUGGAUGAUUACAUCUGUAUGGAAUGUAAAAGAGCACAGGAAGGCAGCUCAGAGGAACUCUAUUGCAUCUGCAGAACACCAUACGAUGAAUCGCAGUUCUACAUUGGCUGUGACCGCUGUCAGAACUGGUACCAUGGACGCUGUGUGGGUAUUCUGCAGAGUGAGGCGACUCACAUUGAUGAAUAUGUGUGCCCUCAGUGCCAGUCUACAGAGGAGGCCAUGACUGUCCUGUCCCCGCUCACAGAUAAGGAUUACGAGGGUUUGAAGCGAAUCCUCCGCUCCUUACAGGCCCACAAAAUGGCAUGGCCCUUUCUGGAACCAGUGGACCCUAAUGAUGCUCCAGAUUACUAUGGGGUCAUAAAAGAACCAAUGGAUCUGUCCACAAUGGAACAGAGGAUACAGAAACGAUUUUACAACAAGUUAACGGAAUUUGUAGCGGACAUGACCAAAAUUUUCGACAACUGCCGCUACUACAACCCCAGCGACUCACCUUUUUACCAGUGUGCCGAGUUCUUGGAAUCCUUCUUUGUACAGAAGCUCAAAGCUUUCAAAGCAAGCAGAUUGAUGUCUUGAGUCUGACGUAUAGCUGGAAUCUAUGCUGAAGGGGUGGAGUUUCUCUUUUAUAAAUACAUGGAACUUACUGCUUUAUGAGCAGCUGAAACUCCACAUGAUUUUUUUUAUAUUUAAGUUAAUUCGGUAAUUUUUCAUCGGAGGGGGGGGAGAGAACUCAUUAAAAGGCAAAGGUGUCCCAAGCAUGGCUUCAUUGACAAUCGCAGAAUGGCAGCCAUUUUGUUCAUGAAUCCAAGAGAUAUGUCUUAAGAGCAUCUAAGAUUAUGUGGAUUUUUUUUAAAAACCCUAUUGUUCAUAAUAUUCACAUAUAUUAGUCAUUGACAUUUUAUUUGUAUAUGCCUAAAGGCAAUGCCUUGAUUUCUUCAAAUGUGUUUACUUUGGCACUGGUAAAAUAUUUUGUAUAUUUUAUUGUAAGAUGGAUUGGAUCGGUCUCUUAGGCAGCCUUUUCUGGUUCAUCUACGUGUCCUGGACUAAUGCAUUGGUUUAUCAUGUGCUCUUUCAGGUCUCAUAACAACAAACUACAGUCUUCAGCUUCAUAGAAUACAACCACACGUGGUGCUAACGCACGUCUGUAAAGGAUAUGUUUGGGGGGAGGGGGGGGGACUCUGAACAGUCAAUCCAAGGGAACCAGGCAUCUUUUAUGUCAAAGAUGCCCUUCACAUUCUCCAUUUUCUUUCUCUCUCGACCCAAACCGAUGGUUCUUCCCCAGUCGACCAGCAACGCACAUGACUGCAGUGGUUAAAGCAGCGUCUCUUUGACCUGCCCUGCUCUCUGACUGUGGAGUGAACGGGCAGCGGAGGGAUUACAUGAAGCAUUUUGUAACAUUUGUUACCUCAAAGCAAUGACUUUUGGAUGGACCUUUUGUGUUUUUUAAAUCAUGUUUGCAUAAUCCAGGGUCCAGGUCUACAUAUACCUUUCAUGACAAUAGACAAUGACAUGUUUUCCUGUGAUGUGCAAGAAUUAGGUGGAUCCUGGACACAACUGACUGUGUUUGAUGAGCAGUUGGUUUUGUGGUGGAUUAGAGUUCAGGAUGCCUGAAAGAGUAAAUUUAUUCAGAUGCAGGUUUUUAGCUGUUUCAUGCCAAGUGACUGAAGCAGCUAAAAACCAAGAUCAGUUGGGAGGCAUUCUGUUUGUAUGUCUAUUCUUCCUUUUUCUUUCUUUUUUUUGUAAUACAGCUGAAGAAAUAUUGAUGUAUAUGAAUCGUAAAUAAAUGGAAAGAGUUCUCUUUCCCACACUUAAAA
Molecule: RNA transcript, 11711 nt
Organism: Neoarius graeffei (lesser salmon catfish)
Lineage: Eukaryota; Metazoa; Chordata; Actinopteri; Siluriformes; Ariidae
Gene: bptf
Gene name: bromodomain PHD finger transcription factor
Exons: 33
Source: RefSeq, a predicted model, not a curated record